AUUACUUUCAAAUUCCAUCUCACAUAUUGCCAUUUCAAAUCCUCCACUUGCCCUAAUUUUCUCUUUCAUACUCUAUUCCCUAUUUGAUGCUCGAUUUUCUCGAUCCUCCAUCUCCAUUGAAGCAGCUCGAUCCUCCAUCUCAAUUGAAGCAGCUUGAUUUUCUCUCUCCUCCAUUGAAGAGCUUGCCCGAUAUUUUCUCCAUCUCCAUUGAAGCAGCUCGAUUUUCUCGAUCCUCCAUCUCCAUUGAAGCAGCUCGAUUGUCGGCGUGUGAGCAUCCAUCAUUGAACCGGCUUGUGAGCUUUUAUCCUCCAUUGAAUUAGUUUCUGAGUCUGGAAUGAAUGUUUUAGGAUGUCUGAUUUGAAUAUACAAGAGUCACGUAAGCGCCCAAGGGAUGAUGAUGAUGAAAUGGACUUAGUUGUGAUGGUUUUAGGUUUUAUUAUGGUAGUAGUAGGAGCAUGGUAUGGUAAGAAAUAUAGAUUAAAGGAGAUAGCAUGGAAUGAAUCCGAGCGUUCUAGAACAAGAGCUACAUGGAUGAACACUUUGAGGAAUGAUAGGAUAUGUCGAGAGCAAUUACGUCUCGAUAUACGUUGUUUUGAGAAGCUAUGUCAUGUAUUACAAACUAAAGGUGGGCUAAAGACCACGAGAAAUGUCACGAUAAAAGAAAUUGUGGCUUUAUUUCUUCAUACCCUUGCGCAUGAUUUGAAAAAUAGAACAAUGCAAGCCCUCUUUGCACGAUCCGAGGAGACUAUUAGUCGUCAAUUUCAUGUAGUUCUUGCAUCCAUGCUCAAGUUAGGGAAAUAUUACAUCAAACAAGCCGAUCACACUACUAGUUAUGCUGAUGAUAAUAAAUGGAAGUGGUUCGAAGGUGUUAUAGGAGCUCUUGAUGGGACACAUAUUGAUAUGAUUGUGCCAAUUGAGGAUCGACCUCGCUAUCGAGAUAGGAAAAAGAACCUUAGCACUAAUGUACUAGCCACUUGUGAUCCUAACCUUCGAUUCACAUAUGUGCUACCUGGUUGGGAAGGAUCCGCAUCGGAUCCUCGUGUCCUUCGGGAUGCUCUUCGUAGGCCUAAUGGUCUUAAAGUGCCUAAAAAUAAGUAUCUUCUUGUUGAUUUAGGAUAUUCUAAUGCCGAAGGUUUCCUAGCUCCUUACAAAGGUACUAGAUACCAUUUAAACUUGUGGAGAGGAAACACUCCUACAAAUGAAAAGGAGCUUUUUAACUUGUGACACUCAUCUGCUCGAAAUACCAUUGAAAGGGCAUUUGGGUUGUUAAAGAAGCGUUGGAGCAUUUUAAGAAAUUCUAGCUUUUUUCCAAAAAAAAUUCAAGUAAGAAUUAUCAAUGCUUGCUUUAUCCUACAUAAUUUUCUAAGGGAAGAAAACAUGGAGGAAACGAGUCUUAUGCAAGAGAUGGACCAUGACUUGAUAAAUAUGGAAGCAAUAGAUGAGGAAGAGGUAGAAGAAGACUACAUUUUAUCCGCCCGAACAACAAAUGAGUGGAACAAAUUUAGAGAUGACCUUGCUAAGAAGAUGUUUCAAGAAUAUAUGGCACGAAGGGGUCAAGCUACAUGGGUUUUAGUUGUAAUGAGACAUUUGUGUAUUAUUUAUGGUUUGUCAUAAAACUAUUUAUUAUGUAAUGAGAAAUUUGUGUACUAUGUAUGGUUUGUCUUAAAACUAGUUUGCCUUUAUUCUUGUCAUAAAACGAGUUUGCCUUUCUUCUUGUCAUAAAACUAGUUUGCCUUUAUUCUUGUCAUAAAAUUUGUUUGCCUUUCUUCUUGUCAUUUUAGUUUUAGCAUUAGUACAAGUGUUGAUUUGAUUUUUUAUUUUUAUUUUCUUGUCUACAGGACCUCUGAACAUCAUACAUUAUGAGGAGAUCUGGGAAAGAGCCUAUGGCACCUUCACAAUCACAAAGAAUAAACUAUACAAGUUGGAAUACACAAAUGGAUGGUGUACUCACUAAAACAUUGUUUGAGCAGAUUAAUGAGGGAAAUAAAGGUGAUGGAGAAUUCAAAUCGCAAGCAUAUCAAGCUGCAGUGGAUAACGUGAGGAAACAAUUGGGCAUCUUAGUCACCAUGGAUCAAGUGAAGAAUCGGAUCAAGGUUUGGAAGAAACAUCAUUCGGUCAUCAAUGAUAUCACAACUUAUACAAAGUUUAAGUGGGAUGAUAAAAAGAAGAUGAUAGUGAUCCCCGUAGAAGACCUUCAAGCAUGGCAUGUAUAUUGUAUGGAAACGCCUGCAGUAUCUGCGUAUCAAAACAAAUGCAUCGAGAAUUGGGAUGACAUUUGUACCUUGUUUGCACCUGAUAGAGCAAUAGGAGAUGUGGCUGAGCAACAUGAAGAAGCUGCUGCAGCAAUGGAGAAUGAAAAUGAUAAUGCAAGUACAUCAGAAACGGCUUCCGGAGAUUCAAACAAAAGGUUAAAAAAGGAUCGUCUUGCAGAUGCUGUGAGUAGCUUUGCUGAAUCUUUCAAGGAAUACGUGAGUAAAUCAACAAGGCCAACUAGUCAAGAAAUCUACAAGGAAGUGUCUAGUGUACUUGGAAUAUCUCGACACCAAGCUUUGAGGGCGGUUAAGAGAUUCUUAAAUGGCACAUUGGAGGAAUUUGACAUGCUGAAAAAUUUACCCGAUGAUCAAAAAUUAUAUUGGAUCAUUUUGUGUAUUGAUGAGUAGUAGUGUUGUAAGUUAAGAGAUAAUUAGAGUUAAGUUGGAACUUAGGUAUUGAAAUUUAGAAUUUGGAAUUCCAUUGUUUCCCAAAUUAAACAACAACUAGAAUUUAAAAUUCUAGAAUUGAAAUUCUCUUGUUUCCCAAACAAGUAUUUGAAUUUGAAAUCCUAAAUUUGAAAUUAUCAUAUUUCCCAAA
Chenopodium quinoa (quinoa) is the source of this 2850-nucleotide RNA transcript. RefSeq lists it as uncharacterized. The transcript has 4 exons. Lineage: Eukaryota; Viridiplantae; Streptophyta; Magnoliopsida; Caryophyllales; Amaranthaceae. The record is from RefSeq and is a predicted model, not a curated record.